GUGGCACGCUUCGCCUUUGGCUAAGAUCAAGUGUAGUAUCUGUUCUUAUCAGUUUAAUAUCUGGAUACGGCCCCUUAUCUGGGACCACAUAUAUUAAAUUGAUUUUUGGAACAGGGAGAUGGAAUAGGGGCUUGUUCGGUUCACCCACUCCAUCGACCUGGUAUUGCAGUGUAAUUUCCAGAGCGUACUUUC
Small nuclear RNA from Polypterus senegalus (gray bichir), 192 nucleotides. RefSeq annotates it as U2 spliceosomal RNA. The transcript has a single exon. NCBI's taxonomy places the organism in Eukaryota, Metazoa, Chordata, Cladistia, Polypteriformes, Polypteridae. The record is from RefSeq and is a predicted model, not a curated record.